GACAGAGGUGCCGAGCGUUAGGCGGAAUCACUGGGCUUAAAGCGUGUGUAGGCGGACUUGUAAGUACCUUGUGAAAUCCCACGGCUCAACCGUGGAAGUGCAUUCGAAACUGCAGGGCUAGAGUCCUGGAGAGGAAGGUGGAAUGCUUGGUGUAGAGGUGAAAUUCGUAGAUAUCAAGCGGAACACCGGUGGCGAAGGCGGCCUUCUGGACAGUGACUGACGCUGAGACGCGAAAGCGUGGGGAGCAAACAGG
Molecule: ribosomal RNA, 253 nt
Filed under: uncultured bacterium
Lineage: Bacteria
Description: partial 16S ribosomal RNA
Rfam family: Bacterial small subunit ribosomal RNA
Source: RNAcentral